This 490-nucleotide ribosomal RNA is filed under the name uncultured bacterium. RNAcentral's name for it is "partial 16S ribosomal RNA". It matches the Rfam family "Bacterial small subunit ribosomal RNA", at positions 30 to 507 of the family's 1533-position model. The record is from RNAcentral.
AUUGAACGCUGGCGGCAGGCCUAACACAUGCAAGUCGAACGGUAACAGGAAGAAUCUUGCUUCUUUGCUGACGAGUGGCGGACGGGUGAGUAAUGUCUGGGAAACUGCCUGAUGGAGGGGGAUAACUACUGGAAACGGUAGCUAAUACCGCAUAACGUCGCAAGACCAAAGAGGGGGACCUUCGGGCCUCUUGCCAUCGGAUGUGCCCAGAUGGGAUUAGCUAGUAGGUGGGGUAACGGCUCACCUAGUCGACGAUCCCUAGCUGGUCUGAGAGGAUGACCAGCCACACUGGAACUGAGACACGGUCCAGACUCCUACGGGAGGCAGCAGUGGGGAAUAUUGCACAAUGGGGGCAAGCAUGAUGCAGCCAUGCCGCGUGUAUGAAGAAGGCCUUCGGGUUGUAAAGUACUUUCAGCGGGGAGGAAGGGAGUAAAGUUAAUACCUUGACUCAUUGACGUUACCCGCAGAAGAAGCACCGGCUAACUCCGUG